Molecule: ribosomal RNA, 253 nt
Filed under: uncultured bacterium
Lineage: Bacteria
Description: partial 16S ribosomal RNA
Rfam family: Bacterial small subunit ribosomal RNA
Source: RNAcentral
UACGUAGGGUGCAAGCGUUGUCCGGAAUUAUUGGGCGUAAAGAGCUCGUAGGCGGUUAGUCGCGUCUGCUGUGAAAACUCGGGGCUUAACCCUGGGCCUGCAGUGGGUACGGGCUGACUAGAGUACUGCAGGGGAGACUGGAAUUCCUGGUGUAGCGGUGGAAUGCGCAGAUAUCAGGAGGAACACCGGUGGCGAAGGCGGGUCUCUGGGCAGUAACUGACGCUGAGGAGCGAAAGCGUGGGGAGCGAACAGG